AAUAGAUACCCAGGUAGUCUUGGCCAUAAACGAUGAUCACUAGGUGUUGGGGCUUUGCCUCGGUGCCGCAGCUAACGCAUUAAGUGAUCCGCCUGGGAACUACGAGCGCAAGCUUAAAACUCAAAGGAAUUGGCGGGGGCCCGCACAAGCGGUGGAGCAUAUGGCUUAAUUCGAUGCAACGCGAAGAACCUUACCAGGGCUUGACAUGUAUCUGCAAGCACCCGAAACGGUGUCGCCUUCGAGGGUGAUACACAGGUGGUGCAUGGCUGUCGUCAGCUCGUGUUGUGAAAUGUUGGGUUAAGUCCCGCAACGAGCGCAACCCUCAUGUUCUGUUACCAGCGAGUAAUGUCGGGGACUCGGAACAAACUGCCUCUGUAAAGAGGAGGAAGGUGGGGAUGACGUCAAGUCAUCAUGCCCCUUACGCCCUGGGCUGCACAUAUGCUACAAUGGCCGGUACAAAGAGCUGCCAACUCGCGAGAGUGCGCAAAUCUCAAAAAGCCGGUCUCAGGUUC
Molecule: ribosomal RNA, 512 nt
Filed under: uncultured bacterium
Lineage: Bacteria
Description: bacterial SSU rRNA
Rfam family: Bacterial small subunit ribosomal RNA
Source: RNAcentral